RNAcentral lists this ribosomal RNA (484 nucleotides) under uncultured bacterium. Its description in RNAcentral is "partial 16S ribosomal RNA". It matches the Rfam family "Bacterial small subunit ribosomal RNA", at positions 28 to 523 of the family's 1533-position model. The record is from RNAcentral.
GAUGAACGCUGGCGGCGUGCUUAACACAUGCAAGUCGAACGAUGAAGCCGGAGCUUGCUCUGGUGAAUUAGUGGCGAACGGGUGAGUAACACGUGAGUAACCUGCCCUUGACUCUGGGAUAACUGCGGGAAACUGUAGCUAAUACCGGAUACGACCCUCGGAGGCAUCUCCUGGGGGUGGAAAGAAUUUCGGUCAAGGAUGGACUCGCGGCCUAUCAGCGAGUUGGUGAGGUAAAGGCUCACCAAGGCGACGACGGGUAGCCGGCCUGAGAGGGUGACCGGCCACACUGGGACUGAGACACGGCCCAGACUCCUACGGGAGGCAGCAGUGGGGAAUAUUGCACAAUGGGCGCAAGCCUGAUGCAGCAACGCCGCGGGAGGGAUGACGGCCUUCGGGUUGUAAACCUCUUUUAGCAGGGAAGAAGCGAAAGUGACGGUACCUGCAGAAAAAGCACCGGCUAACUACGUGCCAGCCGCCGCUGUAA